ACGGGAUGUCGUAAUAAAGAGUGAACCCCCAUAGUGUGCCUUUAAGUCCUGGAGUUCUAUAGUCAACAGAUCAGAAAUUGGCGAAAAAUUGGGUUUUUUAACCGCUGGUGUUCCUCCAACACCCUCUCCACAUACCCAGUGGAAGAUGUGACGCUGAGGACAAAGGACACGACAGCAAGGAUGUUUGGAAGAUCAGCUGCCUGUAGAACUGCCAUCCAGUUCUCUGCUGUUCCCUUGGACACCCAGUCAUCAGUGAGAUGCUUUAGAAUGUUGUUGGCAGUAACACACUCAUCAUAAAGCAUAUCCAUGGAGAUGUUUUGCCUGCCAACCAGGUGAAGCUGCCCAAUGAUCUUCUCCAUGCCAUCAUAAGAGAUCCUCCCAGAUGUCAGAGAGAGGGACUGUAGAUGGAAGAGCCAGUUGUCUUCUGAAAAAUUGAACCAUUUUUGUACAUUAUGGCAGUGUUUAAGAAGGCUGUGAACUCCUGUCUGGCAACAUCAGAUGGAGAAAGAUGAUGAAGCUUUUGUUUAGUUUGGUAGCCAUAGAACCCAUCAUCUCUUCUCUGAGAGAGUUUUGUCAGAAAAGAGUGCAUGAUGACAUAGAGGUCAGCUGAUGUGGUGUCAUUCCUCUUUUUGACCACCUCUUCAAAGAGGGUCAGGAUGUUGUUACAAAAGAGGAAAUACACCUCCACAAGAUCAGGCUCAUCGUCCUCAAGCAUCAGCAUCUCUUGUUAAUUUCAACAAUGUUUGCAGGUGCCUUGGACAGUCAACACCUAUGCUAAUAAAUAUAAGUAUAUAUACUC
Alosa sapidissima (American shad) is the source of this 799-nucleotide long non-coding RNA. RefSeq lists it as uncharacterized. The transcript has 2 exons. NCBI's taxonomy places the organism in Eukaryota, Metazoa, Chordata, Actinopteri, Clupeiformes, Clupeidae. The record is from RefSeq and is a predicted model, not a curated record.